This 467-nucleotide ribosomal RNA is filed under the name uncultured bacterium. Its description in RNAcentral is "partial 16S ribosomal RNA". It matches the Rfam family "Bacterial small subunit ribosomal RNA", at positions 28 to 506 of the family's 1533-position model. The record is from RNAcentral.
GACGAACGCUGGCGGCGUGCUUAACACAUGCAAGUCGAACGGAAAGGCCCUGCUUUUGUGGGGUGCUCGAGUGGCGAACGGGUGAGUAACACGUGAGUAACCUGCCCUUGACUUUGGGAUAACUUCAGGAAACUGGGGCUAAUACCGGAUAGGAGCUCCUGCUGCAUGGUGGGGGUUGGAAAGUUUCGGCGGUUGGGGAUGGACUCGCGGCUUAUCAGCUUGUUGGUGGGGUAGUGGCUUACCAAGGCUUUGACGGGUAGCCGGCCUGAGAGGGUGACCGGCCACAUUGGGACUGAGAUACGGCCCAGACUCCUACGGGAGGCAGCAGCGGGGAAUAUUGCACAAUGGGCGGAAGCCUGAUGCAGCAACGCCGCGUGCGGGAUGACGGCCUUCGGGUUGUAAACCGCUUUCGCCUGUGACGAAGCGUGAGUGACGGUAAUGGGUAAAGAAGCACCGGCUAACUACGG